UACGUAGGGUGCGAGCGUUGUCCGGAAUUAUUGGGCGUAAAGAGCUCGUAGGCGGCCUAUUGCGUUUGCUGUGAAAGCCCGGGGCUUAACCCCGGGUCUGCAGUGGAUACGGGCAGGCUAGAGUUCGGCAGGGGAGACUGGAAUUCCUGGUGUAGCGGUGAAAUGCGCAGAUAUCAGGAGGAACACCAAUGGCGAAGGCAGUCCCCUGGGCCUGUACUGACGCUCAUGCACGAAAGCGUGGGGAGCAAACAGG
Molecule: ribosomal RNA, 253 nt
Filed under: uncultured bacterium
Lineage: Bacteria
Description: partial 16S ribosomal RNA
Rfam family: Bacterial small subunit ribosomal RNA
Source: RNAcentral